CAAAAUUGGGCAAAAGACACAAUUUGGUAUGUUGCAGCAGAGUGGUGUCAUGCUCGGACUGGAGCAGCAAAAGGUCAAGCUAGCUAGUUAGCAACACCAGGCGGCAUGGUUCAUUCCCAUCACAGUAAUCUAACUGGUCAAAUUAUGAAACAAAAGUCAGAUUAUGGUACAUAUAGUUUAAUAGAAAUUGAUGAUGGUGGAGUCCAUCGGUGCACUGUAAGGGUCGGGUGGGUGCCGACACAUAGGCAAUUGUCAAGUGAAGAUAGAUCAACCCAAAGGAUCCAAAGAGGAAGAGAGAGAAAGGCAAGAACCUUUAACUGGGCCCACCGAUACACAAGGGAGAGAGAAAGGCAGGGAACGACGAUCGACGUCCGCUUAAAUCACAUGAAGAGAGAGAAAUAGAGAAAAAGAAGAGAGGGAAAUGAGGGAAAAUAGGGCCGGUGAUGAACUAGUCCCUUAUCGGGAGCAAAGGAGCUACUGUCAGCUCUGGCAAGCAUCUAUGGUGUGGCGAGGAGCCGACGAUCGUCGAUGGCAGUAGAUGACGGCAAACGACCAGCAAUAUAAGUAAGACAUGAGAAAAGAAAAACAAGAUAGGGCUUAACGUCAAAUCGAGCAUCAUUUUACUUAUUGUCAGCUGGAGCUUCAGCGUCAGCUGGAGGCCAUUGAGAAGGGAGGGAUGGCCGGAGAAGACAACGACGCUAAUUGACUUCAAAACAAGGGAGAAAAGGCUCGUGGGAACCAAAACAAGGGAGGUGGGAGUCCUGGUAACAUCCCGACAAUUCUCAAAGAAAGCUAGCUGGCAGCAACUUCAUAUGGAAGGGGG
This 823-nucleotide long non-coding RNA is filed under the name Phoenix dactylifera (date palm). RNAcentral describes it as "long non-coding RNA (PDAC_LNC001978)". The record is from RNAcentral. Lineage: Eukaryota; Viridiplantae; Streptophyta; Magnoliopsida; Arecales; Arecaceae.